GGAAUAUUACGGGAACAUUCCGCAUUCUUAUGUUCCAGAACAUUAAAUUCCAGAAUAUUACGUUUUGAAUUUUUAUAGCACUCCAUAUAUUAUAUGCAUAGAAACUUACAUACCUAAAUGAUUACAUUGAAAUUCACUAGUUUAAAUUUAAAAUAAAUAAAUAAAAAUAAUAAAAACUCGAUUUUAAGGAAUUUUCUUUUGUAGGUU
Molecule: non-coding RNA, 207 nt
Organism: Cinara cedri
Lineage: Eukaryota; Metazoa; Arthropoda; Insecta; Hemiptera; Aphididae
Source: the annotation of a GenBank genome assembly